Molecule: ribosomal RNA, 1431 nt
Filed under: metagenome
Description: bacterial LSU rRNA
Rfam family: Bacterial large subunit ribosomal RNA
Source: RNAcentral
GAUAUCCCGGUUUAGGCAGAUGUAGGCGACAGGUAGGCAAAUCCGCCUGUCAUAUACCGAGGCUGCCGAUCGAGCGAGCUUGCUCGCGAAGUGACUGAACGAGGUUCCAGGAAAAGCCACUAAGCUUCAGCUAACAACGACCGUACCGCAAACCGACACUGGUGCGCGAGAUGAGUAUUCUAAGGCGCUUGAGAGAACUCGGGAGAAGGAACUCGGCAAAUUGACACCGUAACUUCGGAAGAAGGUGUGCCCUAUUAGUGUGAAGUGAACAACGGAGCAUGAAUGGGUUGCAAAAAAUCGGUGGCUGCGACUGUUUAUUAAAAACACAGCACUCUGCAAACACGAAAGUGGACGUAUAGGGUGUGACGCCUGCCCGGUGCUGGAAGAUUAAAUGAUGGGGUGCAAGCUCUUGAUUGAAGUCCCAGUAAACGGCGGCCGUAACAAUAACGGUCCUAAGGUAGCGAAAUUCCUUGUCGGGUAAGUUCCGACCUGCACGAAUGGCGUAACGAUGGCCACACUGUCUCCUCCCGAGACUCAGCGAAGUUGAAAUGUUUGUGAUGAUGCAAUCUCCCCGCGGAAAGACGGAAAGACCCCAUGAACCUUUACUGUAGCUUUGUAUUGGACUUUGAACAGAUCUGUGUAGGAUAGGUGGGAGGCUUUGAAGCAGGGUCGCUAGAUCUUGUGGAGCCAACGUUGAAAUACCACCCUGGUGUGUUUGAGGUUCUAACCUAGGUCCAUUAUCUGGAUCGGGGACAGUGCAUGGUAGGCAGUUUGACUGGGGCGGUCUCCUCCCAAAGUGUAACGGAGGAGUUCGAAGGUACGCUAGUUACGGUCGGACAUCGUGACGAUAGUGCAAUGGCAUAAGCGUGCUUAACUGCGAGACUGACAAGUCGAGCAGAUGCGAAAGCAGGACAUAGUGAUCCGGUGGUUCUGUAUGGAAGGGCCAUCGCUCAACGGAUAAAGGGUACUCUGGGGAUAACAGGCUGAUACCGCCCAAGAGUUCAUAUCGACGGCGGUGUUUGGCACCUCGAUGUCGGCUCAUCUCAUCCUGGGGCUGUAGCCGGUCCCAAGGGUAUGGCUGUUCGCCAUUUAAAGAGGUACGUGAGCUGGGUUUAAAACGUCGUGAGACAGUUUGGUCCCUAUCUUCCGUGGGCGCUGCAGAUUUGAGGAAGCCUGCUCCUAGUACGAGAGGACCGGAGUGGACGCACCUCUGGUGUAUCGGUUGUCACGCCAGUGGCAUUGCCGAGUAGCUAUGUGCGGAAGAGAUAACCGCUGAAAGCAUCUAAGCGGGAAACUCGUUCCAAGAUGAGAUCUGCCGGGGCCUUGAGCCCCCUAAAGAGUCGUUCAAGACCAGGACGUUGAUAGGUCAGGUGUGGAAGCGCAGUAAUGCGUUAAGCUAACUGAUACUAAUUGCUCGUGCGGCUUGACCCU